GAUGAAGAACGUAGUGAAAUGCGAUAAGUAAUGUGAAUUGCAGAAUUCAGUGAAUCAUCGAAUCUUUGAACGCACAUUGCGCCCCUUGGUAUUCCGAGGGGCAUGCCUGUUCGAGCGUCAUUAUAACCCUCAAGCUCAGCUUGGUGUUGGGGCCUGCUGCACUGGCAGCCCUUAAAAUCAGUGGCGGCGCCAUCUGGCUCUAAGCGUAGUAAUUCUUCUCGCUAUGGAGUCCUGGUGGAUGCUUGCCAUCAACCCCCAAUCUUUCUAUGGUUGACCUCGGAUCAGGUAGGGAUACCCGCUGAACUUAAGCAUAUCAAUAAGCGGAGGA
RNAcentral lists this unclassified non-coding RNA (328 nucleotides) under soil metagenome. RNAcentral describes it as "partial contains 5.8S ribosomal RNA, internal transcribed spacer 2, and large subunit ribosomal RNA". The stretch from base 1 to 120 matches the Rfam family "5.8S ribosomal RNA", at positions 35 to 154 of the family's 154-position model. The record is from RNAcentral.